CACUAGUGGUUUUAAGAAAUAUGCAACAAUAUUUCACCAGUGCCAAUACAUCACAAUCAAUUCACAAAUAAAACAUCAAUAAGGCAUCAAGAAAAGAUACCAAUCAAAUAUUUCAAAAAUGUGAAUUAAUCAUGCAUCUAUUAUUCUAUCAAAGUCAAUCAUGAAACAAAUAAGCAUAUAAUUGUCAUGGAUCACAAUUUAACUAAGAUAAAAUAAUAAUUACCUACGCAAUAUCAUAUAAUUAUCAGAUCAGC
Molecule: long non-coding RNA, 254 nt
Filed under: Daucus carota (carrot)
Lineage: Eukaryota; Viridiplantae; Streptophyta; Magnoliopsida; Apiales; Apiaceae
Description: long non-coding RNA (DCAR_LNC000993)
Source: RNAcentral